This 235-nucleotide long non-coding RNA is filed under the name Homo sapiens (human). Its description in RNAcentral is "non-protein coding CDC37L1-DT:22". Lineage: Eukaryota; Metazoa; Chordata; Mammalia; Primates; Hominidae. The record is from RNAcentral.
CUGUUUCAAGCCCCGUUUUCUUGCAGCUCUUCGGCACUGCAAACCUAACCGCUAAUGGCGCUGUGGGUGGAGAAACGUUUGUUAGGCUUCUUACAUCAUGGUUGCAGGAUGGCUGCUACAGCUCUGGACAUCACAUCAAAAUAUGGCAGAAGCUAAAGCAGGAAGACAGAGAAGGAGGCAAAACAGCUUUAUUCACUUGUGGCUCUCAUAUGAAGAAUAAAGAUAUUUCUCGAAA